AUUGAACGCUGGCGGCAGGCCUAACACAUGCAAGUCGAGCGGAUGAAGGGAGCUUUCUCCUGGAUUCAGCUGCGGACGGGUGAGUAAUGCCUAGGAAGCUGCCUGGUAGUGGGGGAUAACGUCCGUACACGGGCGCUAAUACCGCAUACGUCCUGAGUGAGAAAGUGGGGGAUCUUCGGACCUCACGCUAUCAGAUGAGCCUAGUUCGGAUUAGCUAGUUGGUUGGGUAAAGGCCUACCAAGGCGACGAUCCGUAACUGGUCUGAGAGGAUGAUCAGUCACACUGGAACUGAGACACGGUCCAGACUCCUACGGGAGGCAGCAGUGGGGAAUAUUGGACAAUGGGCGAAAGCCUGAUCCAGCCAUGCCGCGUGUGUGAAGAGGGUCUUCGGAUUGUAAAGCACUUUAAGUUGGGAGGAAGGGAAGUAAGUUAAUACCUUGCUGUUUUGACGUUACCAACAGAAUAAGCACCGGCUAACUUCGUG
RNAcentral lists this ribosomal RNA (484 nucleotides) under uncultured bacterium. RNAcentral describes it as "partial 16S ribosomal RNA". It matches the Rfam family "Bacterial small subunit ribosomal RNA", at positions 30 to 507 of the family's 1533-position model. The record is from RNAcentral.